AGACCUGAAAUCAGUCGAGACUACCCGACGAAAUUGAGCAUAUUAUUAAGCGAAGAAAAGAAACUGACUAUUUUUCACCCUAGUAGCGGCGAGUGAAGCGAUAAGAGCUAACAAUAAUAGUCGCGAAGCCGUGGCGGCAUCGCGAGUUGUAGCCUCUAGAGGCGCUACCAGUGGAAGGGCAGGUCCAAGUUUCUUGGAACAGAACUUCAGAGAGGGUGACAGUCCCGUCCCUUGUCCUGCUUGCUGUUUCCACGUACGGUACGCUAUUAUUGAGUCGCGUUCAUUGGGAUUUGAGCGCAAAAUGUGUGACAAGUUUAACAGAAAGCUUACUAUUGGCGCGAGACCGAUAGCGAACAAGUACUGUGAAGGAAAGAUGAAAAGGACUUGGGAAAGAGAGUUAAAAGUGUCUAGAAUGCUGAACGAGAAACGAUUUGAACUUUUGUGCCAAUAGCAAGCCCAGUGCGAAUAGAAAUAUCAUGUUGACCAAAAGGGGAAAAGCUUGCUUGAUUUUGAUUUUCAGUACGAAUACAAACUGUGAAAGCAUGGCCUAUCGAUCCUUUAGGACUGAGAAACUUUCAGCUAGAGGUGUCAGAAAAGUUGCCACAGGGAUAAAUGGCUUGUGGCAGCCAAGCGUUCAUAGCGACGUUGCUUUUUAAUCCUUCGAUGUCGGCUCUUGCUAUCAUUGGGACACAAAAGUCUCAAGUGUCGGAUUGUUCACCCGCCAAUAGGGAACGUGAGCUGGGUUUAGACCGUCGUGAGACAGGUUAGUUUUACCCUACUGAUAAAUUUGAUACUGCGACAGUAAUUCAACUUAGUACGAGAGGAACAGUUAGUUCAGAUACUUGGUUAAUGCGG
This 855-nucleotide ribosomal RNA is filed under the name Cyclospora cayetanensis. RNAcentral's name for it is "Eukaryotic large subunit ribosomal RNA". It matches the Rfam family "Eukaryotic large subunit ribosomal RNA". Lineage: Eukaryota; Apicomplexa; Conoidasida; Eucoccidiorida; Eimeriidae. The record is from Rfam by way of RNAcentral.